RNAcentral lists this ribosomal RNA (254 nucleotides) under uncultured bacterium. RNAcentral's name for it is "partial 16S ribosomal RNA". It matches the Rfam family "Bacterial small subunit ribosomal RNA", at positions 524 to 776 of the family's 1533-position model. The record is from RNAcentral.
CACGUAGGGGGCGAGCGUUGUCCGGAUUUAUUGGGCGUAAAGAGCUCGUAGGCGGCUCGGUAAGUCAGGUGUGAAAACUCUAGGCUCAACCUAGAGACGCCACCUGAUACUGCCGUGGCUAGAGUCCGGUAGGGGAGCAUGGAAUUCCUGGUGUAGCGGUGAAAUGCGCAGAUAUCAGGAGGAACACCGGUGGCGAAGGCAGGUCUCUGGGCCGAUACUGACGCUGAGGAGCGAAAGCGUGGGGAGCGAACAGG